AUUGAACGCUGGCGGCAGGCUUAACACAUGCAAGUCGAGCGGGGUGAUGGUGCUUGCACUAUCACUUAGCGGCGGACGGGCGAGUAAUGCUUAGGAAUCUGCCUAUUAGUGGGGGACAACAUCUCGAAAGGGAUGCUAAUACCGCAUACGUCCUACGGGAGAAAGCAGGGGAUCACUUGUGACCUUGCGCUAAUAGAUGAGCCUAAGUCGGAUUAGCUAGUUGGUGGGGUAAAGGCCUACCAAGGCGACGAUCUGUAGCGGGUCUGAGAGGAUGAUCCGCCACGCUGGGACUGAGACACGGCCCGGACUCCUACGGGAGGCAGCAGUGGGGAAUAUUGGACAAUGGGGGGAACCCUGAUCCAGCCAUGCCGCGUGUGUGAAGAAGGCCUUAUGGUUGUAAAGCACUUUAAGCGAGGAGGAGGCUCUUUUGGUUAAUACCCAAGAUGAGUGGACGUUACUCGCAGAAUAAGCACCGGCUAACUCUGUGCCAGCCGCCGCCGUAA
RNAcentral lists this ribosomal RNA (503 nucleotides) under uncultured bacterium. Its description in RNAcentral is "partial 16S ribosomal RNA". It matches the Rfam family "Bacterial small subunit ribosomal RNA", at positions 30 to 523 of the family's 1533-position model. The record is from RNAcentral.